GACGAACGCUGGCGGCGUGCCUAAUACAUGCAAGUCGAACGCAGUGGGGACGGGUGAGUAACACGUGGGUAACCUCCCAUCAGAGGGGAUAACACUUGGAAACAGGUGCUAAACCGAUACUGAUGGAUGGACCCGCGGUGCAUUAGCUAGUUGGUGAGGUAACGGCGCACCAAGGCCACGAUGCAUAGCGGGCCUGAGAGGGUGAUCGGCGACACUGGGACUGAGACACGGCCCAGACUCCUACGGGAGGAAGCAGUGGGGAAUCUUCGGCAAUGGGCGAAAGUCUGACCGAGCAACGCCGCGUGUGUGAAGAAGGUUUUCGGAUCGUAAAGCUCUGUUGUUGGGGAAGCGGUAUCUGAAGAGGAAGCCACGGCUAACUACGUGCCAGCAGCCGCGGUAAUAC
This 403-nucleotide ribosomal RNA is filed under the name uncultured bacterium. RNAcentral's name for it is "partial 16S ribosomal RNA". It matches the Rfam family "Bacterial small subunit ribosomal RNA", at positions 28 to 526 of the family's 1533-position model. The record is from RNAcentral.